Molecule: ribosomal RNA, 508 nt
Filed under: uncultured bacterium
Lineage: Bacteria
Description: bacterial SSU rRNA
Rfam family: Bacterial small subunit ribosomal RNA
Source: RNAcentral
AUUGAACGCUGGCGGCAUGCCUUACACAUGCAAGUCGAACGGUAACGGGCCUUCGGGUGCCGACGAGUGGCGAACGGGUGAGUAAUGCAUCGGAACGUACCUUUCAGUGGGGGAUAACGUAGCGAAAGUUACGCUAAUACCGCAUACGAUCUACGGAUGAAAGCGGGGGAUCGCAAGACCUCGCGCGAAUGGAGCGGCCGAUGUCAGAUUAGGUAGUUGGUGGGGUAAAGGCUCACCAAGCCAACGAUCUGUAGCUGGUCUGAGAGGACGACCAGCCACACUGGAACUGAGACACGGUCCAGACUCCUACGGGAGGCAGCAGUGGGGAAUUUUGGACAAUGGGCGCAAGCCUGAUCCAGCCAUUCCGCGUGCAGGAUGAAGGCCUUCGGGUUGUAAACUGCUUUUGUACGGAACGAAACGGUCUGCCCUAAUACGGCGGGCUAAUGACGGUACCGUAAGAAUAAGCACCGGCUAACUACGUGCCAGCAGCCGCGGUAAAGUACGUCUA